CUUACGCGUAGGGCUACACACGUGCUACAAUGGCAGUGACAAUGGGAUAAUCCCCAAAAGCUGUCUCAGUUCGGAUUGUCGGCUGCAACUCGCCGGCAUGAAGUUGGAAUCGCUAGUAAUCGUGGAUCAGCAUGCCACGGUGAAUACGUUCCCGGGCCUUGUACACACCGCCCGUCACACCAUGGGAGUUGGAUCUACCCGAAGAUUGUGAGCUAACUUCGGAGGCAGCAAGCCACGGUAGGUUCAGCGACUGGGGUGAAGUCGAAACAAGGUAGCCGUAGGGGAACCUGCGGCUGGAUCACCUCCUU
RNAcentral lists this ribosomal RNA (308 nucleotides) under Durinskia baltica. RNAcentral describes it as "partial Bacterial small subunit ribosomal RNA". It matches the Rfam family "Bacterial small subunit ribosomal RNA", at positions 1201 to 1532 of the family's 1533-position model. The record is from RNAcentral. Lineage: Eukaryota; Dinophyceae; Peridiniales; Kryptoperidiniaceae.